CAUGGUAUUGUCUUCUGGCAAAUUGAAGCUCGUAAGCAAAUAAAGAGGCUAAAUGGGUUAAAAUGAGUGCGAAAAAAAAACAACAACUAGUUUCAUGUAAACACGGUUGACAUCACGUGAUUGAAAUCAUCGUGAUUGAAAGUCAUUCCGGAUUCAUGUAAACACCCCUUAUUUUCCGUUUAUUUUCAAGUGUGUACUUAUUAUUUGCUCGUUUGUUUGAGAUUGUGACGUUUGUAUAAAUGUUUUCAUCGAUUCAACGGUUUUGCUAUGCUGGUAAGACAAAUUUCUAAUACAUAAAACAUUUCAAACUGUAUCAUUGAAAAUCAUCGUGGCUUGAAAAUGUUUCAAUUGACAUUUCUUCUGAUGAUGUCCGUGUUCAAUUUACAAGUUAACAAAGUCAGUAGUUGUCCGUCAGGCUGG
Xenia sp. Carnegie-2017 is the source of this 420-nucleotide long non-coding RNA. RefSeq lists it as uncharacterized. The transcript is spliced from 3 exons. The record is from RefSeq and is a predicted model, not a curated record. NCBI's taxonomy places the organism in Eukaryota, Metazoa, Cnidaria, Anthozoa, Malacalcyonacea, Xeniidae.